This 30-nucleotide non-coding RNA is filed under the name Rattus norvegicus (Norway rat). The record is from RNAcentral. Lineage: Eukaryota; Metazoa; Chordata; Mammalia; Rodentia; Muridae.
UGAGUAAGAAUAUAAAAAAGUAAUCUUCUA